GGGGGAGGAAGGUUCGAUCCACUAAACUUGAAAAGGUUGUUGCAGUUAAGCAAUUGGAUAGAAAUGGGCUUUAGGGGACCAGAGGCUACUUGUCUAUUAGUUCAUGCCCUUGGGAUCAUUGGAAGAUCAUCU
Molecule: non-coding RNA, 132 nt
Organism: Coffea arabica (coffee)
Lineage: Eukaryota; Viridiplantae; Streptophyta; Magnoliopsida; Gentianales; Rubiaceae
Source: RefSeq, a predicted model, not a curated record